This 440-nucleotide ribosomal RNA is filed under the name uncultured bacterium. RNAcentral describes it as "partial 16S ribosomal RNA". It matches the Rfam family "Bacterial small subunit ribosomal RNA", at positions 338 to 795 of the family's 1533-position model. The record is from RNAcentral.
CCUACGGGGAGCUGCAGUGGGGAAUAUUGCACAAUGGGGGAAACCCUGAUGCAGCGACGCCGCGUGAGUGAAGAAGUAUCUCGGUAUGUUAAGCUCUGUCAGCAGGGAAGAAAAUGACGGUACCUGACCAAGAAGCGCCGGCUAACUACGUGCCAGCAGCCGCGGUAAUAGGUAGGGCGCAAGCGUUAUCCGGAUUUACUGGGUGUAAAGGGAGCGUAGGCGGCAGGGGAAGGCUGGAGUGAAAGGCGGGGGCUCAACCCCCGGACUGCUCUGGAAACUGCCAGGCUGGAGUGCAGGAGAGGUAAGUGGAAUGCGUGGUGUAGCGGUGAAAUGCGUAGAUAUUAGGAGGAACACCAGUGGCGAAGGCGGCUUACUGGACUGUAACUGACGUUGAGGCACGAAAGCGUGGGGAGCAAACAGGAUUAGAUACCCGUGUAGUC